UAUCUGUUGUGUGCGUGAUUGACUUUUAUCCCUGAGCCGAUUAAAUACACUUUAUAGGAAAUGAGAUAGUUUACUUCUGUGUAAGCCUAAAACAUAUUAGGAAACCUACGGUAACCUUCGAAAUUCCGCCUUGAACCAUAUGGUUCAGGUACCCUUUCAACACGGCACAACGGAAC
Molecule: non-coding RNA, 176 nt
Filed under: marine eukaryotic metagenome
Description: 6S / SsrS RNA
Rfam family: 6S / SsrS RNA
About the family: E. coli 6S RNA was the first non coding RNA to be sequenced, but its function was unknown until recently. It consists of 184 nucleotides that fold into an extended hairpin structure with a large single-stranded internal bulge. The 6S RNA specifically associates with RNA polymerase holoenzyme containing the sigma70 specificity factor.
Source: RNAcentral